This 836-nucleotide ribosomal RNA is filed under the name uncultured archaeon. Its description in RNAcentral is "bacterial SSU rRNA". It matches the Rfam family "Archaeal small subunit ribosomal RNA", at positions 85 to 922 of the family's 1478-position model. The record is from RNAcentral.
ACGGCUCAGUAACACGUGGACAACCUGCCCUUAGGACGGGGAUAAACCCGGGAAACUGGGUAUAAUACCCGAUAGGUCUCGAGUGCUGGAAUGCAUCGAGAUCUAAAGCUCCGGCGCCUAAGGAUGGGUCUGCGGCCUAUCAGGUAGUAGUGGGUGUAGUGUACCUACUAGCCUACGACGGGUACGGGUUGUGAGAGCAAGAGCCCGGAGAUGGAUUCUGAGACACGAAUCCAGGCCCUACGGGGUGCAGCAGGCGCGAAAACUUUACAAUGCUGGCAACAGCGAUAAGGGAACCUCGAGUGCCAGGUUACAAAUCUGGCUGUCGUGAUGCCUAAAAAGCAUUGCAUAGCAAGGGCCGGGCAAGACCGGUGCCAGCCGCCGCGGUAACACCGGCGGCUCGAGUGGUAACCGUUAUUAUUGGGUCUAAAGGGUCUGUAGCCGGCCGGAUAAGUCUCUUGAGAAAUCUGGCAGCUUAACUGUCAGGCUUUCAGGAGAUACUGUCUGGCUCGAGGCCGGGAGAGGUGAGAGGUACUUCAGGGGUAGGGGUGAAAUCUUGUAAUCCUUGAAGGACCACCAGUGGCGAAGGCGUCUCACCAGAACGGACCUGACGGCAAGGGACGAAAGCUAGGGGCACGAACCGGAUUAGAUACCCGGGUAGUCCUAGCCGUAAACGAUACUCGCUAGGUGUCGGCCACGGUGCGACCGUUGUCGGUGCCGUAGGGAAGCCGUGAAGCGAGCCACCUGGGAAGUACGGCCGCAAGGCUGAAACUUAAAGGAAUUGGCGGGGGAGCACCACAACGGGUGGAGCUUGCGGUUUAAUUGGAUUCAACGCCGGG